This 270-nucleotide ribosomal RNA is filed under the name uncultured archaeon. RNAcentral describes it as "partial 16S ribosomal RNA". It matches the Rfam family "Archaeal small subunit ribosomal RNA", at positions 477 to 747 of the family's 1478-position model. The record is from RNAcentral.
CAGCUCUCCGAGUGGUAGGGAUGAUUAUUGGGCUUAAAGCGUCCGUAGCCGGCUUAGCAAGUCUCCUGUUAAAUUCAGCGACCUAAUCGUUGAGCCGCGGGAGAUACUACUAGGCUAGGAGGCGGGAGAGGCCGACGGUACUUCCGGGGUAGGGGUGAAAUCCUAUAAUCCCGGGCGGACCACCAGUGGCGAAGGCUGUCGGCUAGAACGCGCUCGACGGUGAGGGACGAAAGCUGGGGGAGCGAACCGGAUUAGAUACCCGAGUAGUCC